ACCAGUUCUCGCAAAGUCAACUGCAUUGGGGCCCUUGAACUCCGACUUGUGAGGAGAGGAACAUUCCAGAAGAUUGUCGAGCAUUACGUGGCACUUGGAUCUGCUGUGAAUCAGUUCAAGACACCAAGAUACGUAGGCCCUACAAACACCAAAGUGUUGCAAAUAUUGAAUGAAAAUGUUGUGAAGAACUAUCUCAGUACUGCCUUCAAUUGAAUAAUAAUAAUAAUAAUAAUAUUUAGUAAUGAUAGCUAUCUAUAUAGUUUCCUUUCCCAAAUGAAUAAAAGUUUACCUCAUUUCUACUUUUGUUCCCAUUCCCAUACUCAAUUUUUUUUUUCUCUGACACAGUUCAGUCACACCUCUGUCAUCUUUAUCACCUC
RNAcentral lists this long non-coding RNA (377 nucleotides) under Phaseolus vulgaris (common bean). Its description in RNAcentral is "long non-coding RNA (PVUL_LNC000869)". The record is from RNAcentral. Lineage: Eukaryota; Viridiplantae; Streptophyta; Magnoliopsida; Fabales; Fabaceae.